CGUUGCCCAUAUGAAUGAAAUUCUCAUCACAGAGCAGCUGAUUAUUAUUAUUAAGUUCUUCAUCUUCAGCUUCAUCACAUCAGCUGUGCAACUAAUUGACAUUUUUACAGGAGCUCAUUUGGCAAAUAUUCUUGGUGAUGAUUCCUCAUUGUAUUCAGAGGGACUUGUGUGGCACAGUAUUGUGCACAGUAUUACAUGUGUGCAGUUUUUUUUGUUUAAAACGUUCAAAAAUGACCUAGACAUAUCAACAGAUUGUGAAGACACACCCGUUUUGACCUAGUGCCCACUAAAAUAUAACCACUAAAAUUAGUAUGCAAUCCAGCUAGUGUUGUAGUCUCUUGUAAUACCACUUUGCACCAUAUGUAGUGCUACAAUAUAUUAAAUACAGUGCUAGUCAACAGAGGAAUGAAUGUGGCUGUGGUGACGAUAACUAGAUCUUACAGAAUAGCACAAGCUGUCGUCUGCAAAGAAAGGUGAAUGUAAGUUUUUAUAGUCUUAGUAAGAUUAAUAAGUCAUUUUCAUGGCCGCCAGCCUGGCUGACACCAGAUCGCUGCUCAAAUCUCAAUUGAGAUCAGAAUGGGUCAUGGGACAUCCUAAUCCCACCUCCUAAUUAAAGCGUGAAAGGAAACGAGGACAGAAUGCAACAAGAAUGGAGGAGUCAAGGACAGACAGACAUGAGAAAUGCAGUAAGGGUCAGAUCUCUGUUACCAGAUGAGAUGAGGAACAAGUGGCGAGAGAAGAGUGGUGCAUCCUACGCAUCUUUAGUCAGAAUGUGCGAUCAUUGGGCCAAGAUUACCUGCCCAAUCAGCAACAAGAGGGGAUCGAAAGUGGCAGUGGUAAGUGGUGGUAGCAACACCUGCAAACAUCAAAAAUUGCAAUCGGAAUAGUGUGUACAUUUAUUCACAGCAAAGGUAGGCCAACAUACAUUGUUUCCUGACUGCCAAUUAUGUUUAUUGUCUGUUUGUAAAGUUUAGGCGAAGAUGGAAGAAUCCC
This is a long non-coding RNA of Alosa sapidissima (American shad), 993 nucleotides long. RefSeq lists it as uncharacterized. NCBI's taxonomy places the organism in Eukaryota, Metazoa, Chordata, Actinopteri, Clupeiformes, Clupeidae. The record is from RefSeq and is a predicted model, not a curated record. The transcript is spliced from 4 exons.